Molecule: ribosomal RNA, 373 nt
Filed under: uncultured bacterium
Lineage: Bacteria
Description: bacterial SSU rRNA
Rfam family: Bacterial small subunit ribosomal RNA
Source: RNAcentral
UAAUACGGAGGGUGCAAGCGUUAUCCGGAUUCACUGGGUUUAAAGGGUGCGUAGGUGGGUAUGUAAGUCAGUGGUGAAAUCCCCGAGCUUAACUUGGGAACUGCCAUUGAUACUAUAUAUCUUGAAUGCCGUAGAGGUAAGCGGAAUAUGUCAUGUAGCGGUGAAAUGCUUAGAUAUGACAUAGAACACCAAUUGCGAAGGCAGCUUACUAUGCGGUUAUUGACACUGAGGCACGAAAGCGUGGGUAGCAAACAGGAUUAGAUACCCUGGUAGUCCACGCCCUAAACUAUGGAUACUCGACAUACGCGAUACACUGUGUGUGUCUGAGCGAAAGCAUUAAGUAUCCCACCUGGGAAGUACGACCGCAAGGUUG